Molecule: long non-coding RNA, 776 nt
Organism: Armigeres subalbatus
Lineage: Eukaryota; Metazoa; Arthropoda; Insecta; Diptera; Culicidae
Exons: 4
Source: RefSeq, a predicted model, not a curated record
GAAUCGGCAUUCGCACGAUCGCGGCCAUGUUUGUUUUUUCGCUGUCAUGUUUCGUAUACGAUUGUCGAGCUUAUUUUUGUGAGUUUUUGAUUUAAUUAUUAAAUUUCAAAAUAUUAAUAGGUAUAAAUAUAAAUAUAACCAUUCCUACGAAGGCCGGAUCAGCGAUUGUUUUCUUCUAUCGGAUGCUUGAGUUGUGGAAUCCGGACCACACAAGUAAUAUACCAAGGAUACUGACUAGAAACCAUAAGCGAUUAUCACCAAUGUACUCAAUCCAUCGCAUCGAUUAGCCCUGCUAAAACUUUCAUCCGUCGUCAUGCCGCGGCCGGCAUGCCGGUGCGCUCCGAACAUUCUGAUGCAUACCCGAUAUUCGUGCUAACUAACCACGACUAUAUAUAGUGGAUUCCAAAAUAUAAUUUUUGAAGUUCCGUCGGCUAACGAGAACCCGUUGGUAGUAUUCACCUUCUGGUAGUUUAUUUGAGGCAUCCGGAGGAGGAAUCGGCUUCAGUGAAUUGCUUCUAGAAAAUGCUAGGAUAUAAGGCAAGAUGUUCAAGAAUUAUGCUGAAUCAUGGAAAUCGGUUAUUUACUUCUGCUGUUAUACGUUCCCCUACAUGUGGCUAUCCUGGAACUCCGAGGAACGAGACUCGGAACGGGAGUGAUCUACAUUUUUGGAAAUUAUUUAUUUCAGUUGCGUUUAAAAUUAUGUAAUGAAUUAUUGGCAGUGGCUGAUUUUCUACUCGUCGCAGCCACAUCCAGGCACUAUAGUAUAUGUACAAAAU